CAGCCGCCGCGGUAAUACCGGCAGCCCGAGUGGCGGCUACUAUUAUUGGGCCUAAAGCGUCCGUAGCCGGGCUGGUAAGUCCUCCGGGAAAUCUGGUCGCUUAACGAUCAGACUUCCGGAGGAUACUGCUGGCCUAGGGACCGGGAGAGGCCGAGGGUAUUCCCGGGGUAGGGGUGAAAUCCUGUAAUCCCGGGAGGACCACCUGUGGCGAAGGCGCUCGGCUGGAACGGGUCCGACGGUGAGGGACGAAGGCCAGGGGAGCGAACCGGAUUAGAUACCCGGGUAGUCCUGGCUGUAAACGAUGCGGACUAGGUGUCGGGCAAGCUAAGGGCUUGUCCGGUGCCGCAGGGAAGCCGUUAAGUCCGCCGCCUGGGGAGUACGGCCGCAAGGCUGAAACUUAAAGGAAUUGGCGGG
Molecule: ribosomal RNA, 414 nt
Filed under: uncultured microorganism
Description: bacterial SSU rRNA
Rfam family: Archaeal small subunit ribosomal RNA
Source: RNAcentral